This 557-nucleotide ribosomal RNA is filed under the name Choerodon fasciatus (harlequin tuskfish). RNAcentral describes it as "partial 16S ribosomal RNA". It matches the Rfam family "Bacterial large subunit ribosomal RNA", at positions 1851 to 2605 of the family's 2925-position model. The record is from RNAcentral. Lineage: Eukaryota; Metazoa; Chordata; Actinopteri; Labriformes; Labridae.
GGUCCCGCCUGGCCCUGUGACUAUAUGUUUAACGGCCGCGGUAUUUUGACCGUGCGAAGGUAGCGCAAUCACUUGUCUUUUAAAUGGAGACCUGUAUGAAUGGCAUAACGAGGGCUUAACUGUCUCCUUUUUCUAGUCAAUGAAAUUGAUCUCCCCGUGCAGAAGCGGGGAUACUUCCAUAAGACGAGAAGACCCUAUGGAGCUUUAGACACAAGGCAGAUCAUGUUAAUAGUCCUCACACAAGAGCCAAAACAAAACGAUUCCUGCUAGAAUGUCUUUGGUUGGGGCGACCGCGGAGGAAAAUAAAGCCUCCAUGUGGACCGGGGCCCAACAAGCCCUAUAACCAAGAGCUUCCGCUCUAAGUAUCAAAAUCUUUGACCUACCAGAUCCGGCUACGCCGAUCAACGGACCGAGUUACCCUAGGGAUAACAGCGCAAUCCCCUUCCAGAGCCCCUAUCGCCAAGGGGGUUUACGACCUCGAUGUUGGAUCAGGACAUCCUAAUGGUGCAGCCGCUAUUAAGGGUUCGUUUGUUCAACGAUUAAAGUCCUACGUGAUC